RNAcentral lists this transfer RNA (69 nucleotides) under Rattus norvegicus (Norway rat). It matches the Rfam family "tRNA". Rfam says of the family: Transfer RNA (tRNA) molecules are approximately 80 nucleotides in length. The record is from Rfam by way of RNAcentral. Lineage: Eukaryota; Metazoa; Chordata; Mammalia; Rodentia; Muridae.
GGGGAUUUAGCUCAGUGGUAGAGCGCUUGCCUUGCAAGCACAAGGCCCUGGGUUCGGUCCCCAGCUUCA